Molecule: ribosomal RNA, 512 nt
Filed under: uncultured bacterium
Lineage: Bacteria
Description: bacterial SSU rRNA
Rfam family: Bacterial small subunit ribosomal RNA
Source: RNAcentral
GAUGAACGCUAGCGAUAGGCCUAACACAUGCAAGUCGAGGGGCAUCACAUGAGGCAGCAAUGCCGAUGGUGGCGACCGGCGCACGGGUGAGUAACACGUAUGCAACCUGCCUUCAACAAGGGGAUAACCCGUUGAAAAACGGACUAAUACCCUAUAAUACAGGGGUCCCGCAUGGGGAUAUUUGUUAAAGAUUGAUCGGUUGAAGAUGGGCAUGCGUUCCAUUAGCUGGUUGGUGAGGUAACGGCUCACCAAGGCAACGAUGGAUAGGGGGAACUGAGAGGUUUAUCCCCCACACUGGUACUGAGACACGGACCAGACUCCUACGGGAGGCAGCAGUGAGGAAUAUUGGUCAAUGGACGCAAGUCUGAACCAGCCACGUCGCGUGAAGGAAGACGGCCCUACGGGUUGUAAACUUCUUUUAUACGGGAAUAAAGUGCCCCACGCGUGGGGUUUUGCAUGUACCGUAUGAAUAAGGAUCGGCUAACUCCGUGCCAGCAGCCGCGGUAAUUACG